AUUGAACGCUGGCGGCAGGCCUAACACAUGCAAGUCGGACGGUAGCACAGAGGAGCUUGCUCCUCGGGUGACGAGUGGCGGACGGGUGAGUAAUGUCUGGGGAUCUGCCCGAUAGAGGGGGAUAACCACUGGAAACGGUGGCUAAUACCGCAUAACGUCGCAAGACCAAAGAGGGGGACCUUCGGGCCUCUCACUAUCGGAUGAACCCAGAUGGGAUUAGCUAGUAGGCGGGGUAACGGCCCACCUAGGCGACGAUCCCUAGCUGGGCUGAGAGGAUGACCAGCCACACUGGAACUGAGACACGGUCCAGACUCCUACGGGAGGCAGCAGUGGGGAAUAUUGCACAAUGGGCGCAAGCCUGAUGCAGCCAUGCCGCGUGUAUGAAGAAGGCCUUCGGGUUGUAAAGUACUUUCAGCGGGAGGAAGGCGAUGUGGUUAAUAACCGCAUUGAUUGACGUUACCCGCAGAAGAAGCACCGGCUAACUCCGUGCCAGCCGCCGCUGUAA
RNAcentral lists this ribosomal RNA (505 nucleotides) under uncultured bacterium. RNAcentral's name for it is "partial 16S ribosomal RNA". It matches the Rfam family "Bacterial small subunit ribosomal RNA", at positions 29 to 523 of the family's 1533-position model. The record is from RNAcentral.